RNAcentral lists this transfer RNA (73 nucleotides) under Posidoniimonas corsicana. RNAcentral's name for it is "Planctomycetes bacterium KOR34 tRNA-Asn". It matches the Rfam family "tRNA". From Rfam's summary of the family: Transfer RNA (tRNA) molecules are approximately 80 nucleotides in length. Their secondary structure includes four short double-helical elements and three loops (D, anti-codon, and T loops). Lineage: Bacteria; Pseudomonadati; Planctomycetota; Planctomycetia; Pirellulales; Lacipirellulaceae. The record is from RNAcentral.
UCCGGUGUAGCCAAACGGUAAGGCGGCGGCCUGUUAAGUCGACGAGUGGAGGUUCGAUUCCUCCCACCGGAGC